AGAGUUUGAUCCUGGCUCAGAUUGAACGCUGGCGGCAGGCCUAACACAUGCAAGUCGAGCGGUAGCACAGAGAGCUUGCUCUCGGGUGACGAGCGGCGGACGGGUGAGUAAUGUCUGGGAAACUGCCUGAUGGAGGGGGAUAACUACUGGAAACGGUAGCUAAUACCGCAUAACGUCGCAAGACCAAAGAGGGGGACCUUCGGGCCUCUUGCCAUCAGAUGUGCCCAGAUGGGAUUAGCUAGUAGGUGGGGUAACGGCUCACCUAGGCGACGAUCCCUAGCUGGUCUGAGAGGAUGACCAGCCACACUGGAACUGAGACACGGUCCAGACUCCUACGGGAGGCAGCAGUGGGGAAUAUUGCACAAUGGGCGCAAGCCUGAUGCAGCCAUGCCGCGUGUAUGAAGAAGGCCUUCGGGUUGUAAAGUACUUUCAGCGGGGAGGAAGGCGAUAAGGUUAAUAACCUUGUCGAUUGACGUACCCGCAGAAGAAGCACCGC
RNAcentral lists this ribosomal RNA (496 nucleotides) under Klebsiella pneumoniae. Its description in RNAcentral is "bacterial SSU rRNA". It matches the Rfam family "Bacterial small subunit ribosomal RNA", at positions 8 to 496 of the family's 1533-position model. The record is from RNAcentral. Lineage: Bacteria; Pseudomonadati; Pseudomonadota; Gammaproteobacteria; Enterobacterales; Enterobacteriaceae.